This 303-nucleotide ribosomal RNA is filed under the name uncultured bacterium. Its description in RNAcentral is "partial 16S ribosomal RNA". It matches the Rfam family "Bacterial small subunit ribosomal RNA", at positions 507 to 807 of the family's 1533-position model. The record is from RNAcentral.
AGCAGUAGCCACGGUAAUACGAGGGGUGCAAGCGUUAUUCGGAUUGACUGGGUGUAAAGGGUGUGCAGACGGCUUAUUAAGUCACUUGUUAAAUUCUUCGGCCUAACUGAAGGUCUGCAAGUGAUACUGAUGAGCUAGAGGGUGGAAGAGAGAAGUGGAAUUCUCGGAGUAGCGGUAAAAUGCGUAGAUCUCGAGAGGAACACCAAUGGCGAAGGCAGCUUCUUGGUCCAUUCCUGACGUUCAUACACGAAAGCGUGGGGAGCAAACAGGAUUAGAUACCCCAGUAGUCCCUGUCUCUUAUAC